RNAcentral lists this ribosomal RNA (482 nucleotides) under uncultured bacterium. Its description in RNAcentral is "partial 16S ribosomal RNA". It matches the Rfam family "Bacterial small subunit ribosomal RNA", at positions 30 to 507 of the family's 1533-position model. The record is from RNAcentral.
AUUGAACGCUGGCGGCAUGCUUUACACAUGCAAGUCGAACGGUAACAGGCCGCAAGGUGCUGACGAGUGGCGAACGGGUGAGUAAUGCAUCGGAACGUGCCCAGUCGUGGGGGAUAACUACUCGAAAGAGUAGCUAAUACCGCAUACGAUCUAUGGAUGAAAGCGGGGGACCGUAAGGCCUCGCGCGAUUGGAGCGGCCGAUGUCAGAUUAGGUAGUUGGUGGGGUAAAGGCUCACCAAGCCAACGAUCUGUAGCUGGUCUGAGAGGACGACCAGCCACACUGGGAAUGAGACCCGGCCCAGACUCCUACGGGAAGCAGCAGUGGGGAAAUUUGGACAAUGGGCGCAAGCCUGAUCCAGCAAUGCCGCGUGCAGGAAGAAGGCCUUCGGGUUGUAAACUGCUUUUGUACGGAACGAAACGGCUCUGGUUAAUACCCGGGGCUAAUGACGGUACCGUAAGAAUAAGCACCGGCUAACUACGUG